GACGAACGCUGGCGGCGUGCUUAACACAUGCCAGUCGAACGGAAAGGCCCUGCUUUUGUGGGGUGCUCGAGUGGCGAACGGGUGAGUAACACGUGAGUAACCUGCCCUUGACUUUGUGAUAACUUCAGGAAACUGGGGCUAAUACCGGAUAGGAGCUCCUGCUGCAUGGGGGGGGUUGGAAAGUUUCGGCGGUUGGGGAUGGACUCGCGGCUUAUCAGCUUGUUGGUGGGGUAGUGGCUUACCAAGGCUUUGACGGGUAGCCGGCCUGGGAGGGUGACCGGCCACAUUGGGACUGAGAUACGGCCCAGACUGCUACGGGAGGCAGCAGUGGGGAAUAUUGCAAAAUGGGCGGAAGGCUGAUGCAGCAACGCCGCGUGCGGGAUGACGGCCUUCGGGUUGUAAACCGCUUUCGCGUGUGACGAAGCGUGAGUGACGGUAAUGGGUAAAGAAGCACCGGCUAACUACGU
RNAcentral lists this ribosomal RNA (467 nucleotides) under uncultured bacterium. Its description in RNAcentral is "partial 16S ribosomal RNA". It matches the Rfam family "Bacterial small subunit ribosomal RNA", at positions 28 to 506 of the family's 1533-position model. The record is from RNAcentral.